Molecule: ribosomal RNA, 253 nt
Filed under: uncultured bacterium
Lineage: Bacteria
Description: partial 16S ribosomal RNA
Rfam family: Bacterial small subunit ribosomal RNA
Source: RNAcentral
UACGUAGGGGGCAAGCGUUGUCCGGAAUUAUUGGGCGUAAAGCGCGUGUAGGCGGCCAGGUAGGUCUGCUGUGAAAACUCGAGGCUCAACUUCGAGAUGUCGGCGGAAACCAUUUGGCUAGAGUCCGGAAGAGGAGAGUGGAAUUCCUGGUGUAGCGGUGAAAUGCGCAGAUAUCAGGAAGAACACCCGUGGCUAAGGCGGUUCUCUAGUACGGUACUGACGCUGAGACGCGAAAGCGUGGGGAGCGAACAGG